RNAcentral lists this ribosomal RNA (496 nucleotides) under uncultured bacterium. RNAcentral's name for it is "partial 16S ribosomal RNA". It matches the Rfam family "Bacterial small subunit ribosomal RNA", at positions 28 to 506 of the family's 1533-position model. The record is from RNAcentral.
GAUGAACGCUGGCGGCGUGCCUAAUACAUGCAAGUCGAGCGAACAGAUAAGGAGCUUGCUCCUUUGACGUUAGCGGCGGACGGGUGAGUUACACGUGGAUAACCUACCUAUAAGACUGGGAUAACUUCGGGAAACCGGAGCUAAUACCGGAUAACAUAUUGAACCGCAUGGUUCAAUAGUGAAAGGCGGCUUUGCUGUCACUUAUAGAUGGAUCCGCGCCGUAUUAGCUAGUUGGUAAGGUAACGGCUUACCAAGGCAACGAUACGUAGCCGACCUGAGAGGGUGAUCGGCCACACUGGAACUGAGACACGGUCCAGACUCCUACGGGAGGCAGCAGUAGGGAAUCUUCCGCAAUGGGCGAAAGCCUGACGGAGCAACGCCGCGUGAGUGAUGAAGGUCUUCGGAUCGUAAAACUCUGUUAUCAGGGAAGAACAAAUGUGUAAGUAACUGUGCACAUCUUGACGGUACCUGAUCAGAAAGCCACGGCGAACUACGU